This 253-nucleotide ribosomal RNA is filed under the name uncultured bacterium. Its description in RNAcentral is "partial 16S ribosomal RNA". It matches the Rfam family "Bacterial small subunit ribosomal RNA", at positions 524 to 776 of the family's 1533-position model. The record is from RNAcentral.
UACAGAGGGGGCAAGCGUUGUUCGGAAUUACUGGGCGUAAAGGGCGCGUAGGCGGCCCGCUAAGUCGAACGUGAAAUCCCCGGGCUCAACCUGGGAACUGCAUCUGUGACUGCAUCGCUGGAGUGCGGCAGAGGGGGAUGGAAUUCCGCGUGUAGCAGUGAAAUGCGUAGAUAUGCGGAGGAACACCGAUGGCGAAGGCAAUCCCCUGGGCCUGCACUGACGCUCAUGCACGAAAGCGUGGGGAGCAAACAGG